GACGAACGCUGGCGGCGUGCCUAAUACAUGCAAGUCGUGCGGACCGUGGUGAAGGCUUGCUUUUCAAAGGUUAGCGGCGGACGGGUGAGUACCACGUGGGCAACUAGCUUGUAAAACUGGGAUAACGCCGGGAAACCGGGCCUAAUACCAGAUCGUUUUUUCCUCCGCAUGGUCGAAAGAGGAAAAGGGUCUUCCGCUGCCACUUACAGAUGGGCCCGCGGCGGAUUCGCUUGUUGGCGGGGUAAUGGCCCACCAAGGCCACGAUGCGAACGCGACCUGAGAGGGUGAUCGGCCCCAAUGGGACUGGGACACGGCCCAAAAUCCUGAGGGGGGGAGCAGUAGGGGAUUUUUCGGCAUAGAGGAAAGGCCGAAGGGGCCACGCCGGGGGAGUUGAGGAGGCCCUUGGGUCGUAAAACUCUUGUGCCGGGGAAGGACCAGUUGCGUUAGAAACGGGGGGCGCCUUGACGGUACCCGGUCAGAAAGCCACGGCUAACUACGUG
This 500-nucleotide ribosomal RNA is filed under the name uncultured bacterium. RNAcentral's name for it is "partial 16S ribosomal RNA". It matches the Rfam family "Bacterial small subunit ribosomal RNA", at positions 28 to 507 of the family's 1533-position model. The record is from RNAcentral.